CAUUCCUACGGGAGGCAGCAGUGGGGAAUAUUGCACAAUGGGGGAAACCCUGAUGCAGCGACGCCGCGUGGGUGAAGAAGUACUUCGGUACGUAAAGCCCUAUCAGCAGGGAAGAAAAUGACGGUACCUGAUUAAGAAGCCCCGGCUAACUACGUGCCAGCAGCCGCGGUAAUACGUAGGGGGCAAGCGUUAUCCGGAUUUACUGGGUGUAAAGGGAGCGCAGACGGCAGUGCAAGUCUGGAGUGAAAGCCCGGGGCCCAACCCCGGAACUGCUCUGGAAACUGUGCGGCUAGAGUACUGGCGGG
This 305-nucleotide ribosomal RNA is filed under the name uncultured bacterium. RNAcentral describes it as "bacterial SSU rRNA". It matches the Rfam family "Bacterial small subunit ribosomal RNA", at positions 334 to 656 of the family's 1533-position model. The record is from RNAcentral.